This is a long non-coding RNA of Exaiptasia diaphana, 615 nucleotides long. RefSeq lists it as uncharacterized. The record is from RefSeq and is a predicted model, not a curated record. NCBI's taxonomy places the organism in Eukaryota, Metazoa, Cnidaria, Anthozoa, Actiniaria, Aiptasiidae. The transcript has 4 exons.
UGAAUAAACAGAAGACCAACGGAUUUUCAGUUAACGGCAGUGACUGCUAUAGUUUUAAUAAUCACUUCAGUUACGAUUCAAAGACUUCAUUUUUGAUCACAAAUKGACAGUAAAAAGCUCACAAGAGGACUCGUGUUUUUGGCAGCUUGCUUUGUAUCAUCGAUAGCACUGGAUCGAUGUCUGAAAACCCAUGGAGACCAGCCAUGUAUAACAACGGGAAAAUUACCCAUCACACUAGAGUGCAGAUAUCCUGGCCAAUGGUUUGCUGUUAAGAAAACCGAAAUCCAAGCACGMACAGGAAACUGGGUAGCGGUUUCUGAGGAAAAGACCGCUGACUCACAGUGUAAGAAUACCAAGGUUAAGACAAGGCCUAAGAACUACAAGUGUGAUGUCUCUCGUUUGGGCUCUCAGGGUACUUCAGGUGUAAAUGCCAGGAUCACUUACUAUUGCUGGGAGUUUGAUCCCAGUAUUCUUGGCGGCUUUGGGAGAAAGAGAACAUUGUUUCCACCUCCAAUCCCCAUUGAUACAUAUGAAGACAUCRAGGAUUAGCAAAUCCCUCAAGCUACCUUAUUCCCGCAAGCCCACAACAUAGUUAACGACUAAAUUUAGUAAAAA